GGCAUGCUGAUGGUGCUUGCAUCAUGAUUUACAUUUGAGUGAAGUGGCGAACUGGUGAGUAACACGUGGGAAACCUGCCCAGAAGCGGGGGAUAACACCUGGAAACAGAUGCUAAUACCGCAUAACAACUUGGACCGCAUGGUCCGAGCUUGAAAGAUGGCUUCGGCUAUCACUUUUGGAUGGUCCCGCGGCGUAUUAGCUAGAUGGUGGGGUAACGGCUCACCAUGGCAAUGAUACGUAGCCGACCUGAGAGGGUAAUCGGCCACAUUGGGACUGAGACACGGCCCAAACUCCUACGGGAGGCAGCAGUAGGGAAUCUUCCACAAUGGACGAAAGUCUGAUGGAGCAACGCCGCGUGAGUGAAGAAGGGUUUCGGCUCGUAAAACUCUGUUGUUAAAGAAGAACAUAUCUGAGAGUAACUGUUCAGGUAUUGACGGUAUUUAACCAGAAAGCCACGGCUAACUACGUGCCAGCAGCGGGGGUAAUAC
RNAcentral lists this ribosomal RNA (488 nucleotides) under Lactiplantibacillus plantarum. RNAcentral describes it as "bacterial SSU rRNA". It matches the Rfam family "Bacterial small subunit ribosomal RNA", at positions 52 to 526 of the family's 1533-position model. The record is from RNAcentral. Lineage: Bacteria; Bacillati; Bacillota; Bacilli; Lactobacillales; Lactobacillaceae.